Molecule: long non-coding RNA, 213 nt
Filed under: Nicotiana benthamiana
Lineage: Eukaryota; Viridiplantae; Streptophyta; Magnoliopsida; Solanales; Solanaceae
Description: long non-coding RNA (NBEN_LNC018430)
Source: RNAcentral
GGGGAUCGAAUCUUAACUAACUGACGUAUUGUAAUAUCAACCAGCCGAGAAUAAAAUCAAAAGAAGAUUGAUUGAAAAAGCUAAAGUACUAUUGAUGGACUUCAUGCAGCUGGCUUUCACUCGAAUCUUUUUCAGUUAUAAGGUUUUCUACUCCUUUAUCCUUUGACUCUCAACUCAAUGCAUCACAGACUGACGAGUCUAAGACAAGUUAGA